UAAUCUGUUUAAAGCAAAUCCUCAUCUAGAUAUGACAGACUUACACCCGAUUGCAUAUAAUCACUUAUUAUCAUAAGCUUGACUACAUCAUCGACACUCAUAAGAUAUAUUUGAAAAAAAAUUAUAAAAUUAUAAU
Molecule: non-coding RNA, 136 nt
Organism: Populus trichocarpa (black cottonwood)
Lineage: Eukaryota; Viridiplantae; Streptophyta; Magnoliopsida; Malpighiales; Salicaceae
Source: Rfam